RNAcentral lists this ribosomal RNA (429 nucleotides) under uncultured archaeon. RNAcentral describes it as "bacterial SSU rRNA". It matches the Rfam family "Archaeal small subunit ribosomal RNA", at positions 474 to 903 of the family's 1478-position model. The record is from RNAcentral.
AACCAGCUCUUCAAGUGGUCGGGACUUUUAUUGGGCUUAAAGUGUCCGUAGCCGGUUUGGUAAGUUCCUGGUUAAAUCUGGCAGCUUAACUGUCAGUCGGCUAGGAAUACUGCCUUACUAGAGGGUGGGAAAGGUUUGGGGUACUCCAGGGGUAGCGGUGAAAUGCGAUAAUCCUUGGGGGACCACCAGUGGCGAAGGCGCCAGACUGGAACACGCCUGACGGUGAGGGACGAAAGCCAGGGGAGCGAACGGGAUUAGAUACCCCGGUAGUCCUGGCUGUAAACGAUGCGUGCUAGGUGUUGGUAGGGCUAUGAGCCGUAUCAGUGCCGUAGGGAAACUGUUAAGCGCGCCGCCUGGGAAGUACGCUCGCAAGAGUGAAACUUAAAGGAAUUGGCGGGGGAGCACCACAAGGGGUGAAGCCUGCGGUUC